UACGUAGGGUGCGAGCGUUGUCCGGAAUUAUUGGGCGUAAAGAGCGCGUAGGCGGUCCGAUAAGUCGGCUGUGAAAGUCAGGGGCUCAACCCUUGAAAGCCGGCCGAUACUGUCGGACUAGAGUCCGGAAGAGGCAAGUGGAAUUCCCGGUGUAGCGGUGAAAUGCGCAGAUAUCGGGAGGAACACCAAUGGCGAAGGCAGCUUGCUGGGACGGUACUGACGCUGAGGCGCGAAAAGCGUGGGGGAGCAAACAGG
This 255-nucleotide ribosomal RNA is filed under the name uncultured bacterium. RNAcentral describes it as "partial 16S ribosomal RNA". It matches the Rfam family "Bacterial small subunit ribosomal RNA", at positions 524 to 776 of the family's 1533-position model. The record is from RNAcentral.